AUGGCUGGGUCUGCUGUUAAGGCCGUCAUCAGGAAUGUGAGCAAACUUGCGGUUUGGGAAACCUCACUUUUAUGUGGUGUCACUGGUGAAGUAGGAUUCUUGAAAGAUGAACUGAAGCGGCUAAAGUGCUACCUUAGAUCUGCUGAUGCUAAACGGAGAUCAGGAGAUGAGUGUGUGGCUACCUGGGUCAGCCAGAUCAGGGACGUGACAUAUGAGUCCGAGAAUGUCAUUGAAGCUGCAGAUUACAUGGAGAAGAGAAACAGGCUGAAGAAUGGAUUCUUGGGUGCCAUUUCAAGGUAUGCUCGCUUGCCAAGUGACAUGGUUACCCUUCAUAAAGUUGGUGUCGAAAUCCAGCGUAUAAGAAGGAAGAUCGGUGAGAUAUUUGACAAUGCAAACCGUUUGAAUAUUGAUUUGGAUACUGGUGUUCUAGAUGAGUUUCCACGAGGCAAUGAUCUCAUGGAUCAAAACUUUGAGGAUGAUGUUGUCAUUGUUGGUUUUGAGGAUAAGUGCCAAGAAAUAACGGACAGGUUAGUUGACAAAGAGAACAAUACUCUUAGUGCUAUCUCCAUAGUCGCCAUGGGUGGGGCGGGAAAAACAUCACUCGUCAGAAAAAUCUACACAUCAUCAAGAGUAAAAGAACACUUCGACACAGUUGCUUGGGUGACUGUGUCUCAAAAGUUCAAGGCCGUUGAUUUACUAACAAGUGUUGUGGAACAAAUAAUGGGGACCAGAGUUGGUUUUAAUCUCCGUUAG
This 753-nucleotide ribosomal RNA is filed under the name Triticum aestivum (bread wheat). RNAcentral describes it as "partial small subunit ribosomal RNA". Lineage: Eukaryota; Viridiplantae; Streptophyta; Magnoliopsida; Poales; Poaceae. The record is from RNAcentral.